GAGGGUAUAGCUCAGUGGUGGUGUGUGCUUAGCAUGCAUGAGGUCCUAGGUUCAAUCCCCAGUACCUCCA
Molecule: transfer RNA, 70 nt
Filed under: Camelus bactrianus (Bactrian camel)
Lineage: Eukaryota; Metazoa; Chordata; Mammalia; Artiodactyla; Camelidae
Also listed under: 2 other names
Rfam family: tRNA
About the family: Transfer RNA (tRNA) molecules are approximately 80 nucleotides in length. Their secondary structure includes four short double-helical elements and three loops (D, anti-codon, and T loops).
Source: Rfam by way of RNAcentral